GAUUGUCCAUGAUCUGUUAGCUUUUGCGGAAAUCGAAGAGUCGAUUUCGAUGCGUUUUUCGGCGAAAUUCGCCGAAAGAAUGCGGUUUCGGUUCGGAUUUCUUCCGACGUCGUUUGGUUGCUUUGUGAGUAGUCUCUAAGCCUUGUUGGCUGGUCACCAUCAUCACAUUGUGGGUUCGGUGAUGACGGGUGAGCGAUGGUGGGUUUCGGUGUCGAAAUAGACACUUUCGGGAACCCGGAUUCGUACAAUUAUCCGACGAUAAUUGUGUAGUGGUGUUAUCUUGUGUUUGCUGCCAAAACAUCCAAAUUGGAAUGUUUUGGGGCAGCAGGUGACUCGUAGUAUGAGUCGGUGCAUUUCGAGACAAUUCAGUGGUCCCGACGGAGUCCCAGUGUGGUUUUCGGGACUUCCGGCGAGUUACGGUAAUCGGUAUUGGGAAACCGAUCUUCGUGAAUUGUUUGUGGUGUUGUGGAUACUGUGGUUAUUAGUUGUGGGUUAGAUGCUAACCCGGUGGACCCUCUAUAGGUCCGGUUGACAUUCUUUUGUAGUCAGGAGACAGGCGCGACAUUCGUACAGGUGGGUACUUCGAUCCGACGUCGGUACAGUGGUGCACGCUCGGUGAUGGUUUCUUACCUUUGCUCUUUCGUUAUUAUCUAGCAUAUAUAUAUCUUGAUAUAUAGUGUUGAGCCUAGCACCAUGUUGUUCAGUUACACUCCACUCGGUUGUUCUCUUUAUAUCAUGAGUAGGAGUAGAGUAGUUAUACCAUAUUUCUUUGUUGCUCUACUUAGCUAUUCUGCAUACCAUGUUUCAUAUUUAUAGUAGAGCGAUUUUGUGAUUAUCUGUGAGAUUAGCGAUCUAGUCGGUCGAUUCUAGUAUUCAGUAUUUGUGACCUAUUCGGUGAGUUCCUCGACCUUUGUUGUCUGAUGACCGUUGAGGUCGGUAUACCCUGAGGGGUGGGAUUGUCGGUUAGUUGCCGACGGAUGAUUAUACUUUACUCAUAUCCUAUACUUAUGACAUAAUUUGUCGAGUUUCAUAUCCUAUACUUGUGACGCGAUUGGUCGAGUUUCAUAUCCUAGUUGAUCUGAGUGGUCAGUCCUUGUGGUUCAUUAAGCAGUAUUUGCAUAUGUUUGAGAGGAUGUCGAUGUUGUCCCAUCCUAGUUGACCUGAGUGGUCGGUUCUUGUGCAUCUUUACAGUUGACGACCUAUGCGGUCGAUGGGCCCUGUGGGGCAGGAUUGUCGGCUGGUUGCCGACGUUUGAUCAUUGAGCAUAUUGCAUUGAUCG
This 1279-nucleotide long non-coding RNA is filed under the name Ananas comosus (pineapple). RNAcentral's name for it is "long non-coding RNA (ACOM_LNC033086)". Lineage: Eukaryota; Viridiplantae; Streptophyta; Magnoliopsida; Poales; Bromeliaceae. The record is from RNAcentral.